RNAcentral lists this ribosomal RNA (322 nucleotides) under uncultured bacterium. RNAcentral's name for it is "bacterial SSU rRNA". It matches the Rfam family "Bacterial small subunit ribosomal RNA", at positions 201 to 507 of the family's 1533-position model. The record is from RNAcentral.
GGAGGGGGGAUCUUCGGACCUCUCGCUAAUAGAUGAGCCUAGGCCGGAUUAGCUAGUUGGUAGGGUAAAGGCCUACCAAGGCGACGAUCUGUAGCUGGUCUGAGAGGAUGGCCAGCCACACUGGAACUGAGACACGGUCCAGACUCCUACGGGAGGCAGCAGUGGGGAAUAUUGCGCAAUGGGCGAAAGCCUGACGCAGCCAUGCCGCGUGUGUGAAGAAGGCCCUUGGGUUGUAAAGCACUUUCAAUUGGGAAGAAAGGUUGCGUGUUAAUAGCACGUAGCUGUAACGUUACCUUUAGAAGAAGCACCGGCUAACUCCGUG